GGAUUAACGCUGGCGGCGUGCCUAAUGCAUGCAAGUCGAACGUGGUCCCUUCGGGGAUGCGCGUGGCGGACGGGUGAGGAACACGUGGGGAACCUGCCCAUUGGUGGGGGGUAGCCCGCGGAAACGCGGGUAUUCCGCAUACGCUGGCCGGUCGCUAGGACUGGUCAGGAAAGGGUCUUCGGACUCGCCGAUGGAGGGGCCUGCGCCCGAUUAGCUGGUUGGUGGGGUAACGGCCUACCAAGGCGAUGAUCGGUAGCUGGUCUGAGAGGACGGCCAGCCA
Molecule: ribosomal RNA, 280 nt
Filed under: uncultured bacterium
Lineage: Bacteria
Description: partial 16S ribosomal RNA
Rfam family: Bacterial small subunit ribosomal RNA
Source: RNAcentral